CCAGGGUGGCUUCCUUAAUGCCCAUGCCCAAGUAAGUAGUCCAUUAAAUUCCCUUACAAACAGAAGCUGAGGCUGCCUUUAUUUCUUGCCAGGACCCUGACGGACACCAGGGCUUUCUUAGGUUUUGUUCUAAAAACCCAGCUCCCGUGGACUGUCUUAGACAACAGCCAAAGACAAGACCCCCGCACUGUCUGUGGGUGCCGGGCAUCGUGUCUCCAUAGGACUUUCCUAACUGCCCCUCAGCUCAUCACCCGGCCUUCAGCCCGAACCGGGAGAGGGCUGAGGAGGGGAGUUUUUGAAGGGAACUCCUAGGAGCAGAGGGCACUCAAGGAGGGGAGAGGGUGUGUCCCCCAACUCGGGCCAUGCGAGGGGGCUCCAAGAAGGGUGAGGCUGUCUGUAGGAGAGACCCUGGCUGAGCAGCUGCAAAGGGCCGCUACUGCAGCAGGGGGAGGGGCUGUUGGGAAGAGGGCUGGGGCCCUCAGGGUCACUGGCAGGACAAGGAUGUAGUGUCCCUUGAGCACCUACUAGGACACAUCAGGCAUCCUUUAAUCCCUAUGUAGGCAGCUGCGGACAGACAUGGCCUUCAGCCCUCCUGGAGCCAGAGGGGGAAAAAAUGACAGCGUGAAAUGAUGAGCAACGUGAAAUGAAAGCAGAGGAGGGAUGGGAAGGAAGGCCACGGAAGAGGAAGAAGCGUAUCUUCUCCAUCUUCUGCAAAGCGCGAGUCCCUUAAACCGAAUUAUAACGAGGUGUAACGUCCAUGCAGUGCAUCAGACCCGUCUUCACAGACAGGUACACCCGCUCACCGCCACCCAGUUGAAACAUACCCGGCAGGUUCCCUUCCCUGGUCCUGGGAAGGACUCAUGUUGAUUCACAGUCUUUAAAAAACCCCGGCUGGCUGGGUGGAGGGUGGGUUGGUGAAGGGCAGGGGAAGGAGUGGACUUCUCAGGCCGGUCAUCCGCUCCCAGGGGCCACCGUGGGUGGGGCGGGAGUGGCCUGUGGCCUCGGCCCUGCAUCUGGCUCCCAAGGCUGCUCAGGCCUCUCGGCUGACCGGGUCCCUCUGCUCUGGCACUGGGACAUCGUUAGGAUGCUGCACACUGGGUCAUCUGAUCAGGGUGGGGGGUUCCUGCCCUUUUGCCGCCAGACUCACUGUCAGAAGGCGGGGGGUGGAUGGAGCUGGGGACACGUGGGCACAGUGGUGUGAGCCACCAGGCUUGCCUCCAAGACUCUUUAAGAGCUAGCAUUUAUCGGGCGCCAACUGCACGUUAGGCUGUCUGCAAUAACCCUGCACAGGAGCAAUUAUUACCUUCAGUUUUACUGCCGGGAAACUGAGCUCGAGUGAGAGGAGUUACUUGGCCUGGGGAGCUGGGUGGAACCAGUAUUUGAACUGAGGCCUGUUUGAUGCCAAAGCCUGGGUGCUAUCCAGUGCCCCCCACAACCUUGCUGGUCUGGUCCCGCUGAAGGAAGGUGUAGGCCAGCUGGCCGGGGAGGUCUAUACGCAGAGGUCUGGACCGCAGCCGGCCCCCGGCUCUGUUCAGUCUGACUGUCUGCUUAUGUCCAGCUGUGAGGCACAGGGGAACCUGGGUCCAACUGGGCAGAAUCUGUGAUGGGAAGUUUGCUCCUCAGGGGCCAGCUGGCUGCGACUCCCAGCUUCUUGGCUGACCGCCUGGAUGCUCCAGACCUGGGUAGGCGGAAAGGGGGUGGAGCAGGGGAGCGAAGGGGUCUGGAGC
Molecule: long non-coding RNA, 1727 nt
Filed under: Felis catus (domestic cat)
Lineage: Eukaryota; Metazoa; Chordata; Mammalia; Carnivora; Felidae
Description: lncRNA (ENSFCAG00000048078.1)
Source: RNAcentral